AUUGAACGCUGGCGGCAUGCCUUACACAUGCAAGUCGAACGGCAGCACGGGUGCUUGCACCUGGUGGCGAGUGGCGAGCGGGUGAGUAAUACAUCGGAACGUACCUUAUCGUGGGGGAUAACGCAGCGAAAGUUGCGCUAAUACCGCAUACGCCCUGAGGGGGAAAGCGGGGGACCGUAAGGCCUCGCGCGAUUAGAGCGGCCGAUGUCUGAUUAGCUUGUUGGUGGGGUAAAAGCUCACCAAGGCGAUGAUCAGUAGCUGGUCUGAGAGGACGAUCAGCCACACUGGGACUGUGACACGGCCCAGACGCCUACGGGAGGCAGCAGUGGGGAAUUUUGGACAAUGGGGGCAACCCUGAUCCAGCAAUGCCGCGUGAGUGAAGAAGGCCUUCGGGUUGUAAAGCUCUUUUGUCAGGGAAGAAACACCGGCUCUAACACAGUCCGGGAAUGACGGUACCUGAAGAAUAAGCACCGGUUAACUACGUGCCAGCCGCCGCGGUAA
Molecule: ribosomal RNA, 501 nt
Filed under: uncultured bacterium
Lineage: Bacteria
Description: partial 16S ribosomal RNA
Rfam family: Bacterial small subunit ribosomal RNA
Source: RNAcentral